CGGGGACGAGUUUGCAGGAACGAGGCUGCGCUAGCUCCGGCUUCACCGCGGCGCUCCUCUCGGUUCCGACUGCGCCCCGGCUCCGCCCCGGCCCCCGAUUGGCCCGCGCGGAGGGGGCGGGGCGCCGACAGGAGGAAGCCCCAGGGGACAAAAAGGGAAGAGAAGACUGCUGCGGGUCCCUCCCCACAGCUCCAGUGUGAGGUGACCCUUAUAUUGAGGCAGCACCGGGGCGUUCAUACGGGGAGCACCUAGGCCUCCAUCAACACCACUCCAUCCCCAAAUAAGCCUCAGGGGUGUUUCCAGUGUCUUACGCAGCCAUGUUCUUGAACCCCACAUCGACUGAAGCCCUCUAUCAGAUACAAGUGGGCCUUUUCCGGAUUUAAUCCCCUCAGGUGUUGUUGUGGGAUCCACUUAAACGCAACAUAACUCAAACACCAGGUCAAUGCAGGUGACAAAAAUUUAUUGUAAUCAAGCCGAUGCUUGAUCCACACAGGACAGACACGGGAACUGAGCUACGACCCCAAAACCCUGAAGGGACGUUGUUCGGCAGGAAUAUUUAAAGGAUGAAACUAUAAGGCAAGGGGGUGCAGGGUGGGCUGCAGCACUGUCCAAUCGUAUUUUGACAUAAGGGGUUGAGCAAUGGAAUUUCCAUCAGUCAGGAUAGGAGUAGGUUCCUAGGCCUGGGGUUGUGCCAGCAAGAUGGAGAAGUUGUCCUUGAAAAGGCUGGACGCAGACAAUUGUCUCCUUACAAGUAGUCCCUGAGAUGUCUGGACUCAGACAACUGUCUCCUUACAACAGAAGCUGUUCGGCUGUUGGGAAGUCCCCAGCUCCCUUGGGGCCUGGGACCUUGAGUUUAGUUUCUCCCUAGGAUUAAAUGGAGUCUGAAAUGAAAUGGUCGUACUUAGAAUAAGUGUCCUUUGCCUGUUCCCAACAAUGAAAAGCUAAAGCUUUUCAGCUAAAGCUGAAGCUAUUUUCUGUCACCCUCAGCACAAUAGAGCCACCGGCUCCAACACUUGGCCCGUGCUCUCCUAGAAGGGGGAAAGCAAAUGGGGCCACACCCUCAGAUCCUUGACCUUGGCCAAGGUUUUCCCUAGAAUCGUAGAAAGUGGACCUGGCUGAGUUUGGAAGCGAUAGGGGUGGACUUCCAUGCCUGAGGGCCUGAUUGAUGUCCCUGUCUGGUGUCAAGAAAUGCUGGCACAGCCUGGGCAUUCUAGAAAAAGAUCACCAACACAGACCUCCCAGGAAGAGAUAAAAGGAUAGAGAAAGCCAGCCAGGUCACUAAACAUACCCAUGCAUUAUGCAUUCAUUUUCUCUCUGGUCUUGACUGUGGAUGUGAUGGGGCGAAGGAAUUUAAGUUCUUGCUGCCUUGGCUUUUCUGCUGUGAAAGGCUGUAACCUGGACUUGUGAGCUGAAACAGACCCUUUCCCCUCUGAGUUAUGUUUUGUUUUUAUAUUGUGGGAACCGAACUCUGGGCCUCAUGCAUUCGACCACUGAGAUACACCCCAACCUCCCUUGAGUUGAUUUUUAGCAAGGGUAUUUUUGUCACAGCCACUGAAAUGACCCUAGGGCCACAGGUGGGUAUCAAAUUUGUAUACCUUGGGAUUGGAUUAAGUUAAAAACACACUUAUCUCAUUUGUAUACAGAUUUGCUUUCCUCUUUAAUAAAUGGUAAGAUGAUGCAUAUAAUGAA
Meriones unguiculatus (Mongolian gerbil) is the source of this 1689-nucleotide long non-coding RNA. RefSeq lists it as uncharacterized. The record is from RefSeq and is a predicted model, not a curated record. NCBI's taxonomy places the organism in Eukaryota, Metazoa, Chordata, Mammalia, Rodentia, Muridae. The transcript is spliced from 2 exons.